Molecule: ribosomal RNA, 479 nt
Filed under: uncultured bacterium
Lineage: Bacteria
Description: partial 16S ribosomal RNA
Rfam family: Bacterial small subunit ribosomal RNA
Source: RNAcentral
GAUGAACGCUGGCGGCGUGCUUAACACAUGCAAGUCGAGCGAGAAGUUUUGAAUAGAUUCUUCGGAUGAAAUUUAAAAUGGAAAGCGGCGGACGGGUGAGUAACGCGUAGGCAACCUGCCCCAUACAAAGGGAUAGCAUUUGGAAACGAAUAUUAAUACCUUAUGAAACUUAACUAGUGCAUGCUAGGUAGGUCAAAGAUUUAUCGGCGUGGGAUGGGCCUGCGUCUGAUUAGCUAGUUGGUGAGGUAACGGCUCACCAAGGCGACGAUCAGUAGCCGGCCAGAGAGGGUGAACGGACAGAGAGGAAGUGAGGGACGGUCCAAACUCGUACGGGAGGAGGGAGGGGGGAAGAAUGCAGGAUGGGAGAAAGCCGGAUGAAGCAAGGGCGCGUGAAGGAUGACGGCGGUUGGGACGUAAAGUUCUGUUGUAGGGGAUGAAAACUGACAGUAACCUAGGAGAAAGCCCCGGCUAACUACGUG